GAGUGGGUUCAAUAAAUGUCCC
Molecule: unclassified non-coding RNA, 22 nt
Filed under: Dictyostelium discoideum
Lineage: Eukaryota; Evosea; Eumycetozoa; Dictyosteliales; Dictyosteliaceae
Source: RNAcentral